AAAGGAUAAGAAGUUACAUCUAAC
RNAcentral lists this small RNA (24 nucleotides) under Arabidopsis thaliana (thale cress). RNAcentral describes it as "ATSL055830". Lineage: Eukaryota; Viridiplantae; Streptophyta; Magnoliopsida; Brassicales; Brassicaceae. The record is from RNAcentral.